RNAcentral lists this ribosomal RNA (510 nucleotides) under Agrobacterium agile. RNAcentral's name for it is "bacterial SSU rRNA". It matches the Rfam family "Bacterial small subunit ribosomal RNA", at positions 374 to 876 of the family's 1533-position model. Lineage: Bacteria; Pseudomonadati; Pseudomonadota; Alphaproteobacteria; Hyphomicrobiales; Rhizobiaceae. The record is from RNAcentral.
GGCGAAAGCCUGAUCCAGCCAUGCCGCGUGUGUGAAGAAGGUCUUCGGAUUGUAAAGCACUUUAAGUUGGGAGGAAGGGUGGUAACUUAAUACGUUGCUACUUUGACGUUACCGACAGAAUAAGCACCGGCUAACUUCGUGCCAGCAGCCGCGGUAAUACGAAGGGUGCAAGCGUUAAUCGGAAUUACUGGGCGUAAAGCGCGCGUAGGUGGUUCAGUAAGUUGGAAGUGAAAUCCCCGGGCUCAACCUGGGAACUGCUUUCAAAACUGCUGAGCUAGAGUACGGUAGAGGGUAGUGGAAUUUCCUGUGUAGCGGUGAAAUGCGUAGAUAUAGGAAGGAACACCAGUGGCGAAGGCGACUACCUGGACUGAUACUGACACUGAGGUGCGAAAGCGUGGGGAGCAAACAGGAUUAGAUACCCUGGUAGUCCACGCCGUAAACGAUGUCAACUAGCCGUUGGGAGUCUUGAACUCUUAGUGGCGCAGCUAACGCAUUAAGUUGACCGCCUGG